UUUCAACAAUUACAGUCAGGGCAGUCUUCUAAUUGUAUCAGCAACAUAUGCUGCACCGUGGACCACCGGGUCAAGAACUCCAGCUUGGAAAAGUACCUUUACCAUGCACUAUGCAAUGACAGCUACCCAAAUGCUAAGAAUAACAGCCGCCGAUAACUCCGACCCUGAGCUCCAUCCGUCCGCUGCCCCCUACCCCGUCCGCCUGCCCCGGAGUCGCAGCCGUGGAUAGCCCCAUCAACCGCAACCUUCACCAGCCACACACAAACCUUCCGAAGACAAAUUCCAGUGAGCGACGCAUUUGUGGGAUAAAAAAAAUCUCGGUAGCCGUGUCAUUCCCGUCCGCUGCACUUUCCGGUGGUGGAUCUUGAUUCAGGCGGCACAUCGUUUGUUUGAUCUGUUCAUUGACAUGAUCUUAUCUCCUCCCAUCUCUUGGCUUUUAUAUCAAGGUUCCUAUUUGCUGUUGAAAUCUCAGAAGAAAUUUAUGGAAGGUUUGUCUAUCAUUUCCAAUUUAUAUUCGCAGGUUAGUCUUCCCCAAAACUGACAAUUUCUGCAAUUAUUUUGGGCUGCUUUGGUGGUGAGACUGAAGGCAGUAUUCCAUUUUCGCCAAACAAAGCCAGCGCUACCUGUUUCUGAAUUGCAUCGGGGAGGGGCGAGUGGCAAGAUAUAUUGCCUUAGGAAGCAGAACUUUUGUGGCUUUUCCGGAAGGAUUUGCUGCAUGAGUUGCUUUUAUUUACAUAUAGUUUGUGUGAACAAGUCAGUCUAAUAAUCCCAAUAUGGUGACCAAUAGCAUGCUAACUUCUUGCAGGAUCAGCUGAAACAGCAAGGCUUGGGCAAGCAAAAGAAGAGACAGAGAGAGAUAGCCGAGCAUCAUGCCAAACGGAGGCCGAUUUCCAAGGAAGCUCACUAAGACCAGCAGUGACUCUGGCGCAAACGUCAAACGCCUUGAGCAAGAGACGAACAUAAAGAUCGAACAGCUGAAGCAGCAGGUAGCAAACAUCUCUCUAGAGGUGAUUCAGAUGCUUCUGAGGUGCUGGAACAUGCUUCCGUUUUCCUAACUCGUAUAGCAGAAUCGUUUGCUUCAUCUCCAGAGAAACUGGAUCAAUUGUGCAACCAUGGAUAGGCUGCACAACCUCCUAGCUUAAUACUCCCUCCGCCCAAAAUAAGUGUCUCAACUUUGUACUAACUUUAGUACAAUUAGUACAAAGUUGUACUAAGCUUAUGACACUUAUUUGGGACCGAGGGAGUAGUUGUUAGCAACUGAGCGGGACAAGCAUCACUGGGGAGUAAUUGUUCUGUCAAUAUGUGCAAGUGGAUCUUCAAUGGCAGCUAAAACUCUCCUCCUCCAUGGAAUUAGUGGCACACUUAAGAUAUCCUUUCAGGUUCUGGUUUGGUUGCUGGUACAACUGUAUCCCCCACUAGGCCAGCUGAUCAGGUACAUCAACAAGAAGUUCAGGAAUAAUUACAGGGCGACGAUCCUAGGAUCCCCCCCCCCCCGCCGGCCUCCGACUC
Triticum urartu is the source of this 1509-nucleotide non-coding RNA. The record is from RefSeq and is a predicted model, not a curated record. NCBI's taxonomy places the organism in Eukaryota, Viridiplantae, Streptophyta, Magnoliopsida, Poales, Poaceae.